Molecule: ribosomal RNA, 118 nt
Filed under: Candidatus Harrisonbacteria bacterium RIFCSPLOWO2_01_FULL_40_28
Lineage: Bacteria; Candidatus Harrisoniibacteriota
Source: RNAcentral
UGCUGGUAUUUUGUCUAAAUGUGCACCACCUCUUCCCAUUCCGAACAGAGAAGUGAAAGCGUCUAGAUCCGAUGAUACUUUGGCUUUCGGGCCUUGGGAAAGUAGGAUAUGCCAGCAA